Molecule: ribosomal RNA, 497 nt
Filed under: uncultured bacterium
Lineage: Bacteria
Description: partial 16S ribosomal RNA
Rfam family: Bacterial small subunit ribosomal RNA
Source: RNAcentral
GAUGAACGCUGGCGGCGUGCCUAAUACAUGCAAGUCGAGCGAACGGACGAGAAGCUUGCUUCUCUGAUGUUAGCGGCGGACGGGUGAGUAACACGUGGAUAACCGACCUAUAAGACUGGGAUAACUUCGGGAAACCGGAGCUAAUACCGGAUGAUAUUUUGAACCGCAUGGUUCAAAAGUGAAAGACGGUCUUGCUGUCACUUAUAGAUGGAUCCGCGCUGCAUUAGCUAGUUGGUAAGGUAACGGCUUACCAAGGCAACGAUGCAUAGCCGACCUGAGAGGGUGAUCGGCCACACUGGAACUGAGACACGGUCCAGACUCCUACGGGAGGCAGCAGUAGGGAAUAUUCCGCAAUGGGCGAAAGCCUGACGGAGCAACGCCGCGUGAGUGAUGAAGGUCUUCGGAUCGUAAAGCUCUGUUAUUAGGGAAGAACAUAUGUGUAAGUAACUGUGCACGUCUUGACGGUACCUAAACAGAAAGCCACGGCUAACUACGUG